UCCGCGUGCCCAGUCAUCCUCCCGCCGCCGCCACCCUUGUCCGCCAGCGUCCUGCGGGGCCGCGAAGACCCGACCCGCCUUCCUGGGGGCCCCGGAGGGCCGACUGUGGCUGCACCAGCACCGUCCCGCGGGGAUUUCCCCGGCCCUGCGCGCUGAGUCGCUGGCCGCGGUGCCUGAGCCGAGCCGGCCUACUAAGGCAGAAGCAGCGCUCAGAUCGGCCUCUGUGCGGGGGCCCCGCGCGUUCCCCUGGCGGGCAGGGCUGGGGGCCACGAACCGACUAGUCGGGGCGACCCGGGGAGGGGCCGGGGUCGGUGGCCGCUCGAGCUCACCGCCAGGCACCGUGUCGCAAGCGGCCAAGCUGAGGCGCCACCGCUGCAGUCUCUCGGCCUUGAGGACGUGACAUCCAGCGCCUAACCUGGGAGCUCAACGAGGGAAGGGAGACUUUGAGUCUGCAUUAAAAGGUUUCACGGCACAGGGCCCAGGACGCGUCGCGACAACUACCUGGUCCUGAAGAACAUCUUUUGUGGGUACCUGGCCGGUGUGUCAAACCUUACCAUAAGCUACACGCCCAAGAAAAGAAAGCUAAUAUGGCCAAAGAUUACAAGAUAUGAUUGGCCUCCUAAUUGGCCCGCAGUGGAGGAUACUCAACCCCCGACACCUCCGAUGAUUGACAUGUCUAAUCUCUCAUUUCAACCAGCCUGUCCGAGGCCAACCGCUCCUUCAGCUUUUCGAGUAAUUACUCCGUGAACAAGGAGUGCUUCUCUACCUACUUGGUGUCAAUUGAAAAGGCUGGCUCAAGUAGCUGAACAUCAGCUGUCAGAAGAAAAUAUUCCAAAAGCAGAGGCCAACAUGCUAAUAUCUAUGAUGGCAGUUCUUGCUGUUACAUGUACCCCGUGAUCUGAGAUACGAGCUCAUCUUUUGGGACUGUAGAUAUUCUGCAGUUGCAACAAGAAGUGGAUCAUAUGUCAUCUGCUAAUCUCCAGCUCCUCCUGGGAGAGGAUGCCCUUUCCAUGGCUGCAAAAGGAUUUUCUACUCUGAACCCACUCACAUGGGUGAAAAACCUUGGUGGAGGUUUUGCUGGUGCUUUUGCACUCCUAUUAAUCAUUCUAUUUCUGUUUUGUCUAAUCCUCCGGUGUGGACAACAAGUCCUCCAGAGGGCCAUAGAUGAAGAAACUGCAAAGUCCGUGUUUCUCCUUCUACAAAAACAGAAAGGGGGAGAUUUUGCCUUACAGCUACAUCCACGACUGCUCCCCUGCACUAACCCGUGACCUAAUGAGGUCCUCAGGAAGUGUCUCGGAAUGCUGAGACCCGAUGGAAUGAUAUCGGUCAUCUCCCUUAUUUGGAUGGACGUGGUACAGUAACGCUGUCCUGGGGGUUGUGCAGGCUGUAUGAAGGCACAGUACAUGUUGGAAUACAAUGGGAGCUGGUUAAUGGAAAACAGCCUUAAGGCACGUGACACACAGGUCUUUGAGUAAUCCAGUUUCACUUCCUUGAAAUUUUCUCAAUAAAAGCCAUGCGUUGGUCCGAUUAGGGGCUCAGUCCACAAGGCUGGUGCCCCCUGGUCCCGCUUUAGCCUUA
This is a long non-coding RNA of Hipposideros armiger (great roundleaf bat), 1578 nucleotides long. RefSeq lists it as uncharacterized. The record is from RefSeq and is a predicted model, not a curated record. Lineage: Eukaryota; Metazoa; Chordata; Mammalia; Chiroptera; Hipposideridae. The transcript is spliced from 4 exons.